Molecule: unclassified non-coding RNA, 389 nt
Filed under: soil metagenome
Description: partial contains 5.8S ribosomal RNA, internal transcribed spacer 2, and large subunit ribosomal RNA
Rfam family: 5.8S ribosomal RNA (bases 1-122)
Source: RNAcentral
GAUGAAGAACGCAGCGAAAUGCGAUACUUGGUGUGAAUUGCAGAAUCCCGUGAACCAUCGAGUCUUUGAACGCAAGUUGCGCCCGAAGCCAUUAGGCCGAGGGCACGCCUGCCUGGGCGUCACACGUCGUUGCCCCCCCAUCUACUCCUUCGGGAUUGCGGGGGGCGGAUGAUGGCCUCCCGUGCGCCUCGUCGCGCGGUUGGCAUAAAUGCCAAGUCCUCGGCGACGCACGCCACGACAAUCGGUGGUUGCGAAACCUCGGUUGCCCGUCGUGUGCGGUCGUCGCGCAUCGAGGGCUCGAAAAAAUUGCCGGGCUCCGGCUCGGCUUUCAACGCGACCCCAGGUCAGGCGGGGUUACCCGCUGAAUUUAAGCAUAUCAAUAAGGAGGA